GUUAUUUUGCAUAUCCUGCA
This 20-nucleotide microRNA is filed under the name Bombyx mori (domestic silkworm). RNAcentral's name for it is "bmo-miR-2778a-4-5p". Lineage: Eukaryota; Metazoa; Arthropoda; Insecta; Lepidoptera; Bombycidae. The record is from miRBase by way of RNAcentral.